AAAUAGUUGUAUACAUAUAGUAAUUGAGAAUACAUUUAGUUUCGGCCUAAAUUAAGUAAAAUAUUAUUUA
RNAcentral lists this transfer RNA (70 nucleotides) under Franciscoloa pallida. RNAcentral describes it as "tRNA-Arg". Lineage: Eukaryota; Metazoa; Arthropoda; Insecta; Psocodea; Menoponidae. The record is from RNAcentral.